RNAcentral lists this long non-coding RNA (5668 nucleotides) under Sus scrofa (pig). RNAcentral describes it as "lncRNA (ENSSSCG00065076334.1)". The record is from RNAcentral. Lineage: Eukaryota; Metazoa; Chordata; Mammalia; Artiodactyla; Suidae.
CCAUCUGUGUGUGUUUUUUGGUGAGGUCUUUGGUUCAUUUUAAAAUGUAAUUGUUUAUUUUCUUAUUGUUGAGUUUUACAUAUUCUUUGUGUAUUUGGAUAAUAAAAUUUUACCAGAUAUGUCUUUUGCAAGUAUUUUUUUCCCAGUUUGUGGCUUAUCAUUUUAUUCUCUCUUGUUUUAUUUUCCCUUACUUUGAAAAGUAUGUUUCAGCAUGCCCCAGACUACCAAAGUCCUACAAAUUUCAUUGAUCCUAUGGACUCCUAAAUUGUCUUAGGGUUUAUUUCCUACCCUCCAAAAGUACCUGUGUCUUACAGAAAUCUUCAAUAUACUUGCCACUUCCUGCUCAUCCACUCUAAUUAACUUGAUAUCAAUAUAUCAAGUUUAAUAUGUGACCAUGGAAAUCUUUUGAAGACUAUUCAGAUGCUCCAGGUCCCUUCAGACUGUAAUUUAAUAGAGGCUAAGAGGAUUAAUUAUAGUCCUAGGGAAGGAUGGUAAAUGUUACUCUUCUUUGUCCAACAUAAAUCCAUAUUAUGAUCCUGCUUCUUGAGAAAAGUAGAACCAGAUGCACUUACCAGGUCAUUGACCAGAUACUAUGAAAUGGAGAACUUGUUAAUUUUUGCUCCAGCAAAGAUACCACAUCAGGUACAGUAGCUUCAAUUGGUUUUCCUAUUUGGUUGAGUUUAUGGUAAUCUACUAUCCUCUUUCUUUAUCUUUUUAGCUUUUGUAAGGUCCAAGUUAGUACAUCAAAUGGAUAUAUAUUCAAAACUACCAUCUCUGCAUUUUUCAGGUCUUAGUAGAUGAUGGUAAUCUCUAGUAUUCCACCUCAAACACAAUAUCAUCUAUGACAUAUUCCCUUGGCCAGAGGUGGGUUGGGUGGUGAUUGGAGCUUUCAUUUAACUUUUCUCACUGUGAUGGUUCUUAACACAUAGGUAAAGGGGCCAGAGUUGGGGUUCUGAGUAUGUUCCUCUUAAUUUUACAUUUUGGAACUAGGGAACUGAACCUUGAGUCUGUGGAACUAGUAGAGCUUCUGUGAGUUGGAUCUGGGCCAGAACUCUAAUAUAUUAUUUGGAUACAAAUUCUUCUACUCUAACAGAGGGUCAGUGAUGAUUAUUCAGAUUCUCUAAAUCUCCAAAUAUCAAUGUCAAAGAAAAAAUGUGUCCAAUUGUCCUCAAAAUGACUAGGUGGUUCCUUUACCCCUGUGUGAAGUUAUCUGAGUAAAUGGUUUAGGAUCCUUUGGGGAAGGACAGAAGGAAUCAUUACUGGGUAUCAAAGUUGACAUUAUGGUAGACACGGUGAAAUGUCAUCCAUAUCUUCUUCAACAAGGGACUUGUUGCCCCAGUUGCUGAGAGUCUCCUCAGGAAUAGCCUUAGUUGCAGAACGCCAUUUACCAAAAGUCAUGCCCUAUCUCUGGACAGUCUACUUCCAGUGACUCAUCUGUGAGAUAGUAUAAAGACUCCACCAUAUUAGCUCAACUUAAGACAACUUUGAUGACUAUUCUAGCUCCAGACCUCCCCGAAGAGUUGACAAAAUCUGUGGCUGGGCCGUUGUAACACUUGACUUUUACUUCUGGCAUUUUUCUUUCUUUCCUCUCAUUUCCACAGGUUUAGACUCUUAUUAUCCUUAAACACACUGUACAUAAAAUUCCAUCUUAAUUCACCUUAAUGUCUGUUUUCCAAGGAACCUAACCUAUAAUGAUUUAAAUUUUAUGUCCAACAGUCUUUGAAAUAUAUGAGUAUAUCCCUUACCCUAAUAUGGUUACAUGCCCUUUGGAAUAAGUCUGGGGAAAUAAUUGCUGUAUACAUAUAUUGGGGUUGAACAGGGUCCUUCCUCCUGGGGACAAAGCUCGUAUUUCAUUCAGUGGAUCUGGGUCUGAAAACUGCUCAGUUCUAGAUAUUGGGAAAGGAUUAUGAAUUUUUAAUGGGAUUGCUUCCCUUAGCCUUCUGACCUACACUUGAAAUCUUGUGUUUGUACAAAUUGAACAAACAUUUAUUGGACAUCCUAGGUUUCUUUGGUCCUAUUAAGCAUCUCCAUAGCAAUCUGUGGAUCAGGCCUCCAUGGCUGACACUACAACCUUAUCACUCAUUAGGAUCAUUGCACACACCUGGCUUCUGCAGCAAAGUGUACUGCUUGGCCUUUAUUUAUUUUUAUUUUUAUUUUUUUGUCUUUUUGCUUUUUCUAGGGCUGCUCCCGCGGCAUAUGGAGGUUCUCAGGCUAGGGGUCCAGUCGGAGCUGUAGCUGCCAGCCUACACCAGAGCCACAGCAACUUGGGAUCCGAGCCGUGUCUGCAACCUACACCACAGCUCACAGCAACGCCGGAUCCUUAACCCACUGAGCAAGGCCAGGGAUCGAACCCGCAACCUCAUGGUUCCUAGUCAGAUCCGUUAACCACUGAGCCACAACGGGAACUCCUUGGCCUUUAUUAUUCUGAGAAUCUAUCAAUCCACUUGAGCCAGGUUUUAUAAAAGCAGUUCAUACUGUUAGCUUUACACUACAAAGGAAAACCAUGAUUGAGCUUCUUGGUGAUACUAGUGCCCAUCUUACAGGGCAUUCCUUAUUAUUUUUGUAAACAGUAUCGUCUGGUCUGAAGCAGGGAAAAUGUUCAUCUGACUGCAUAAGGAGCCUCUUUCUGUCCUUCCGGGAAAAUCCUCUUUCACUGUUAGCCUUAAUUGAUUAUUAAUCACUCUCAGUCUUUUAUUGCCUUUUCCCAGUGCAUUGAUAACCCCCAGCAGUAGUUCUCCAAGUUCAAUUUUCUUAUAGCUACUAUUGUUUCUAGCACUUCUUAAAUACCUGAAGCAUUGCAGGCCUCACUCCUUUUCUUUAUACUUGUAUCAAUUCCCAAUGCACUGUUAGUGAAAACUUUAAUCGUUAUACCAAUACUGCAUGCCAGGGAUGGUCUCAGUGCUCCAUCUGAGUGUUGAGAUCCUUAUAAAACCCUGGAAAUUGGUCAUUGACAUCAAAUCCUACUUUGGUAUUUUCUUCCUACUACUUUUUGGGACCAAUUUUUGCAGGUCAGUUUCCUGAGGAAACAGACUCUGAGAACUUUUUAAACCUCCACUUGUACUUUUGACAUUUUCCCCAAGGGCUAUGAAGAGUUACUUUUUUAAGACUGACUGACUAAUAGAAAUACUUUAUAACAUUUUUAUGGAGGAAUUAAUACCUACCUCAGACUACUAUAGGUCUAGACCUUUUCUCAGUUUGGUGGUUUAUUUUAUCACUGUUAUGUUGGCAUAUGUGUCUUAAUAGAGUCACAUCAAUCCAGUUGGGUGUCAGGACUAUUUGAAUGUACAGGGUUAGGUCUCAAGAUCCUAUGGUUUUUGAUAGUGCUGUUGGGGCUGGUGAGGAAUAAAAAUGACAGUGUAUUUAACAAGGGUCCAGAGGUCAAAGGACAAGGCAGUACUAGGAAAUUAUUAGAAGGGCCUAAAACACAGAGCAGUACUAAGACAUAAGUUGACCCUAUAGCAAUGGCUUCUGAAUUUCUUUUUUAUGACCUUUUCACUUGCUUUUAAUUUAUUUUGGACACUUAUUCUUCAUAUGUGACUUGCUUACCAUUUUUCCUUUGCACCUAGAAGGCUCGACCACUUAUCCUCAUGCAGGUAAAAAAAAGCCAUCUCAGUCAUCUACAUUUGGAAAAUUGUGCUGUAACUAUUUCUUUUCCAACUGGUUAGCAAACAUUUGGUCUAUGCAAAAUAUCCAUAGGAUUUUUCAUUCAUGCCAAAAGGUUCUUGAAAUACAGUGCUGUCCAAAAUGUCCAUAAGCACAUUUAGUCCAGGUAAAAUGGUGUUGGAUAAAACUGAGUAUUAAUAUUAACUCUUCCAAUCCAGGAGCAUGAUAUGUCUUUCCAUCUAUUUGUGUCGUCUUUGAUUUCUUUCAUCAGUGUCUUAUAGUUUUCAGAGUACAGGUCUUUUACUACCCAAGGCAAUCUACAGAUUCAAUGCAAUCCCUAAUCAAAUUACCAAGGACAUUUUUCACAGAACUCGAACAAAGUAUUUUAAAAUUUGUUUGGAAGCACAAAACACCCAGAAUAGCCAAAGGUAUCCUGAAAAAGAAAAACAAAGCUGGAGGAAUCAGGCUCCUUGACUUCAGACUAUGCUACAAAGCAGCAGUCAUCAAAACCAUAUGGUACUGACACAAAGACAGAAAUAUAGAUCAGUGGAAAAGAAUAGAAAGCCCAGAAUUAAAUGCACACACCUACUGUCAACUAAUCUAUGACAAAGGAGGAAAGAAUAUACAAUGGAGAAAAGACAGCCUGUUUAAUAAGUGGUGCUGGGAAAACUGGACAACCACAUGUAUUUGUUGACCUAGAAACAUCUAUNGACAACAGCAACAUCUUCUCAAUCCACCUCUUAGAGUAAUGACAAUAAAAACGAAAAUAAACAAGUGGGACCUAAUCAAACCUUAAAAGUUUCUGCACAGCAAAGGAAACCCUAAACAAAAUGAAAAGACAACCCACAGAAUGGGAGAAAAAUCUUUGCAAAUGAAGCAACUGACAAGGGAUUCAUCUCUAAAAUUUAUAAACACCUUCUGUAGCUCAAUACCAAAAAGACAAACAACCCCAUCAAAAAAUGGGCAUAAGACCUAAACAGACAAUUCUCCAAAGAAGACAUACAGAUGGCCAAGAAACACAUGAAAAAAAUGUUCAACAUCACUCAUCAUUAGAAAAAUGCAAAUCAUGCGGUACCACCUUACAUCCGCCAGAAGGGCCAUCAUCCAAAAGUCUACAAACAGUAAGUGCUGGAGAGGGUGUGGAGAAAAAGCAACCCUGUUACACUGAUGGUGGGAUUAUAAAUUGGUGCAACCACUGUGGAAAACAAUAUGGAGAUUCCUCAGAAAACUAAAAAUAGAACUGCCAUUUGAUCCAGCAAUCCCAGUCCUGGGCAUCUAUCCAGAGAAAACCAUGACUCGCGAAGACGCAUGUACUCCAAUGUUCAUUGCAACACUGUUUUCAAUAGCCAAGUCAUGGAAACAACCUAAAUGUCCAUCGACAGAGGAGUGGCUAAAGAAGAUGUGGUACAUAUACACUAUGGAAUAUUACUCAGCCAUUAAAAGGAACAAAAUAACGGCAUUUUUAGCAUCAUGAUGGACCUAGAAAUUAUCAUGCUAAAUGAAGUCAGCCAUACAAUGAGACACCAUCAUCAAAUGCUUUCACUGACAUGUGGAAUCUGAAAAAAGGACAGAAUGAACUUCUUUGCAGAACAGAUACUGACUCACAGACUUUGAAAAACUUAUGGUUUCCAAAUGAGACAGUUCGUGGGGUGGGGUGAUGCACUGGGGUUGUGGGAUGGAAAUUCUAUAAAAUUGGAUUGUGAUGAUCAUUGUACAACUAUAAAUGUAAUAAAUUCAUUGAGUAAUAAAAAAUUAAAAAAUAAAUAAAUUGCAUUUACAUUAUAGAAAAAAACCCUAACAAACAAACAAAAAACCUGAAUAUUAAGGGCCUUUUGGCAUAGAUCAAAUAUUUUAUGGAUGUUUUGAACAAGACCACAUGUCCUGCAAAGCUCCAUCCACUAAUCUCUAAUCACCCUGUUUCCUUAUUCACCAUUUAUCUUGUCCUCAUCAUUUUGGUGAUGUCGUUUCAGACAGUUCACUCUGGUCCAGAUAUGGCUUCCUCUUAAAACACAAAUGCUGGUUUGCUCUUCACUAAAGCAUCUUUAGGAGAUGUCCUAACUGCUGG